UACGUAGGGUGCAAGCGUUGUCCGGAAUUAUUGGGCGUAAAGAGCUCGUAGGCGGUCUGUCGCGUCGGCUGUGAAAACCCGGAGCUCAACUCCGGGCCUGCAGUCGAUACGGGCAGACUGGAGUUCGGCAGGGGAGACUGGAAUUCCUGGUGUAGCGGUGAAAUGCGCAGAUAUCAGGAGGAACACCGGUGGCGAAGGCGGGUCUCUGGGCCGAUACUGACGCUGAGGAGCGAAAGCAUGGGGAGCGAACAGG
RNAcentral lists this ribosomal RNA (253 nucleotides) under uncultured bacterium. RNAcentral describes it as "partial 16S ribosomal RNA". It matches the Rfam family "Bacterial small subunit ribosomal RNA", at positions 524 to 776 of the family's 1533-position model. The record is from RNAcentral.